This 287-nucleotide ribosomal RNA is filed under the name uncultured Bacteroidota bacterium. RNAcentral describes it as "uncultured Bacteroidetes bacterium partial 16S ribosomal RNA". It matches the Rfam family "Bacterial small subunit ribosomal RNA", at positions 28 to 310 of the family's 1533-position model. The record is from RNAcentral. Lineage: Bacteria; Pseudomonadati; Bacteroidota.
GAUGAACGCUAGCGGGAGGCUUAACACAUGCAAGUCGUGGGGCAGCACGGGGUAGCAAUACUCUGGUGGCGACCGGCGCACGGGUGAGUAACGCGUAUGCAACCUGCCCUGUACAGGGGGAUAGCCCGGAGAAAUUCGGACUAAUAUCCCAUGGAAAUAUUGGAAGGCAUCUUUUGAUAUUUAAAGUUCCGGCGGUACGGGAUGGGCAUGCGUAACAUUAGCUAGUUGGUAAGGUAACGGCUUACCAAGGCUUUGAUGUUUAGGGGUCCUGAGAGGGUGAUCCCCCA